RNAcentral lists this long non-coding RNA (5841 nucleotides) under Sus scrofa (pig). Its description in RNAcentral is "lncRNA (ENSSSCG00040003303.1)". Lineage: Eukaryota; Metazoa; Chordata; Mammalia; Artiodactyla; Suidae. The record is from RNAcentral.
UUUUUUUUUUUUUUUUUUUUUUUUUGACGUUUAAUGCCACACCUGCAGCAUGUGAACGUUCCCAGGCUAGAGGAUCAAACUGGAGUUGUAGCUGCCAGCCCACACCACAGCCACAGCCACACCAGAUCCAAGCCAUGUCUGCGACACACCACAGCUCACAGCAACGCCGGAUCCUUAACCCUCUGAGCGAGGCCAGGGAUCUAACCCGCAACUUCAUGGUUCCUAGUCGGAUUCGUUUCUGCUGUGCCAUGAUGGGAACUCCGAGGCUGAUGUUUUUUAAGCGAUGUUUUGGGGGUAGUUGAGGGAAGCAAGUGAUGGUUGUGCAGAAGCAAGUCCCUCUGAGUCAUGGAGGAUAGUGGAGGCUGUGUGUGUUCCCAGGCUCGGGGUCGAAUCGGAGCUGUAGCCACUGGCCUACGCCAGAGCCCCAGCAAAGCAGGAUCCGAGCCGCAUCUGCAACCUACACCACAGCUCACAGCAACGCCGGAUCCUUAACCCACUGAGCAAGGGCAGGGACUGAACCCGCAACCUCAUGGUUCCUAGUCAGAUUCGUUAACCACUGCGCCAUGACGGGAACUCCUGGAAUAGUUUUUUAAUUAGUCUCUCUUCCUCUGGUCUGUGUCCCAUGAUCCACCUGCUGGUAUUAACUGGAUGCUCUCUGGGCACUUUGUGUGUGUCAUCCAUUCCUCAGCAGCAGCUUGUAAGGGAGCUGCUGCUACUGUGUUCAUUCUCCAGAUUGGGAAGCUGAGGCUGAUGGGAGCUGAAUAAUUUGCCCAAAGUCAGAUCCUUAAUAACAUGUCCAGGUCCUCUGCUACUAGUCUAGCUCUUUGUCAUCUCCCUGUGCCGCUUGCUGAAAGCCAGACCUGGUCAUGUCACUCCUUUCGUUAUAAAAACGAAGUGCCUCCUCUGUUCAGUGGGCACAGUGAAGAUGGACACCUCCCUGCCCUCCUUGAGGUGUCCUGCUGGUGAAGGAAACAGGCACCACACACGUAAAGGCAAACGAAAAACGGAGUUAGCAGUCAAAGGUGGCGAAGCUUCCUUGAGUUAACGGAACUCUGUGGUGGUGUCUAGUUAAAUAGCCACCUUCCACAUCUCCCCGCUGAGGCUGCCCAGUGACACCUUGGGGCUUAGAGAAGCCCAGCAGCAGAAGAAAUGCACCUGCCUUCUUCGUUAGCCCAGCCAGUCUUCCCCAGAAUCACGCGACCACAAACACCUCCUGGUAGUUCAGUGAAGGGCUUGGGGGUGUGGAAAGAGAGGGUGCCUCGUCAUUCAGAAGAGAGAGGAUGAUGGCACCCUUGGGGUCCGGCAGGACUUUAUUUAAAAGGGGUCCUGGAAGGCUGAUAGGAUUUGGCUGAACAGAAGGGAUAUCUACAAGGAGACACGUUUAGGAAACAUUUUGGAAAGUGCCUCACCAUAACAGCUGGAACUCUGUGGUUUUAUGGAGUAAACGAACACUGCGACCUUGCAGUAAGUGGAGGGUUUGUGUUAGCAGGAAGCUUGAGAAGGGGCUGUACGGGUAGAAUCUCCAGCCUUUGGCUGGUUAGGAACUUUUGAUAGUCGUUGUUGGGCAUGAUCUGAACCAAGUGGUAGAUGAGAAACUUGCGUUGAGCUGAGACAUAGUUGGGGGAUUGGAGGGGGAGAUCAGAAGCGUGAAAACCGUGGCUAGAGUGGUUGUCUGUGUAAAGUGAGGCAAGCUGAGACCGGCAGGGCCAAGUAGGGCCGAGCCGAAAAGGUAUUGGGAAGAAUCAGCAGGACAAAACAGUUGAGAAUGACUGGUGUGGGCUGCUGGGAGGACCCAGUCCCAAGAGGUCAGGCACAGUGCUCACUGCUCUUCCGGGCAUGUUCCAGAGAGGCUUUAAAUGAAGUAAAUAAAGAAGCUUCUGUUAAAAUGUUUGAUUAAAUACAUAUAGUGAGUGCUUUUAAAAUGCUGAUGGGGCAAGAUGGCAGAUAAUAUAGCAGUUUUAGGAGAGUUUAUUGUUUGAGGUUCUGGUGUAGAGAUUUGAUUCCCAGCACAAGUCCCAGUAAGUAAUGAGCCAUGUAAUAAUAGGGCUCUGCUCUUAAUUAUGGUGAGUACUCUCAAUGAAAUCGAAUUUUCUUAGUACCAUCCGUGGAAAAAAAUUUAACUCUGACUUUACAUAACAGUCCCAGAUAGAGUGUGAACUCUGUGGAUAUGGGAUAGUGACAGAAAAAAAGAGGAAACAAAUCUCCAAUAUUUGCAGAAAAUGUAAGCUCAGAUUAUAACAUAAAUAUAUGAGUGUUUGUGGCGGCUCUGUUGAAGUUGUUACUAGCUAGACUCUAAACCCCAGCACAAACCCCUUCCAGAUUUCAUCAUCACGACUGGUUCUCUGUUAGAUUUUGAGUUCCUUGUUAGCAUGGAUGGUAAUGCUUUUAUCUUUGUAAUACCUACAGUAUUUUGUGGAUUCAAUUGUUUAAAAAAAAGUUCAGGGAGUUCCCAUCGUGGCUUAGCGGAAACAGAUCUGACUAGCAUCCAUGAAGAUGCAGGUUCGAUCCCUGGCCUCACUCAGUGGGUUAAGGAUCCAGCAUUGCCGUGAACUGUGGUGUAGGUCACAGAUGUGGCUCAGAUCUGACAUUGCUGUGGCUGUGGUGUAGGCUGGCAGCUACAACUCCAAUUCAACCUCUAGCCUGGAAACUUUCAUAUGCCGUGCAUAUGGCCCUAAAAAGAUGAACAAAACAAAACAAAACAAUUCAGUUUUAUUGAAUUGCUUCUGCAAAUGAUAGUGGGGGAAGGGGAGAGAUUGCUAAUGAAUACUUUUCCUUUGUUUUUUUUAAGACUUUUUGGGGUAAUGACCAACUGUAUUUUCAGCUAGUCAGCCUGUCAUGUGGGUGUGGAAUGCACCUGCAGGUGUGAGGAGAAUUAGGGGGGUGAGUCCAUUGGAACAGUCCCCAGCGAGAUGCCCUGCACCAGGUUUUCUGUGGGCACCUGUAGGAAUGGGCAGCUCUCUCUCCCUGAGGCCACUGGGCACUGCCAGUAAGUGCCACCAGCCACUUAGGAAGAAAUCAUGUGUGAUAUUUAUGAUGGACGUAUGAGCGCUAGGUAUAACUCCUGGUUUGCCUUUCACAGGUCGGGUGACCGUCUGCAGAUCCUAGCCAUUGGAAAGGUGAGCGUUAUAACUCACAGGGUCAUUCUGGCCAGCCCACGGUGCCUGGUUGGCAUGUAGAGAGUGUAUUAUUUCUGUUCUCUUCUGGGGGCCUCUGGAAAGCAGACCGAGGUUUAAAAAGAUGUUGUCAAAAUUCUUUCCUUUGAAAUCAAUCUGUGUUGACUCAUAAUUUGAGUACUCCUUUAGUACAGUUAUUAAAUAUAGUUACAUAGUUAGCUCACACACAUGCCUAUUUAACCUGUGAGGGCAGAAUUUUGAUUAUGUAGGUCCCAUGGCUUAAGAAAAUGGGGUUUUCUCUUCAACUUGUCUUUAAACUAGAUCUCAAAUUAGCGGACAUUGAUUUCAGAAUUCAGCCUUUAGGAUUCCUCAGAAGUUUUUCUUGCCUUUCAUUUGUCGCUCCCUUAACAUCUCCCCUGCUUUUUUUCAUUUGCUCUUUUCAUGUUGUCAGGGUUUUUUGUUUGUUUUUACGUUUUCUCUCCUGAAACUUUGCACUCAGAGAUAGGAGUAAAGGCCUAUUUUGAGGCAGUAGGAUGGACAGUGUGCUUUCUUUCAUCUCAGUGUAUUAUUGUUUUGCUAACAUGCCUUUUUGCUCUGAAGAUAUAAAUUCACAACUGGAGAAAGAAUCCCAAACUUCAUAAUAACUCUGUAGUUUCCUGAGUGCUUAUUGUGUGCCAAGUACAGGGCAUUUUAGUACAUUAGCUGAUGUCUUCUCAUCCAUAGUGAAGAGACGAAGGCGCCUUGGAGAGUCAGGCCUGGCUGCUUGCUGUGACCGUGCUCCUGACCUGUUCUCUUGUUCCCCCUUGUUCAGUCCCAGGGACAGGGUGGUUUUUAUUAUCUUUAAAGACCUAAGAGAUCUUGGGGCCCUGACUUUGAUGGAUGGCAUUUGGCCUAUUUUAAUUACAAAAACUUAUCAAAUGUUAACAUAAAUUACCUGUGUCUAGUGGGUUCAUAGCCCCAAAUAGUGUCGUUUGGGGUCUUAAAGUGUGUUGAACUGAUUUUGAUGUGUUUAUAAGAGACAUUAUCACUGUUUGAAAAACCCGAUAGUGCUCUUUCCUCCCUGAUUUCUAAUUCUGGCAUCUAGAAUGCAGCUGAGACAAGAGCACGUCUGUGAGACAAACAGAGAUCUCAUGAGAGCUCAUGGAUUAACUUUUUUCCACCACAGCAGCAGGUUUUUCUUAAAGCGUUGUUUGAAAAUUAACAUUACUGAAAAUUUAAGCCUACCUAAAGGGAUUCUAGUUUUGAUCUCAAUUAUAAAAAGUAGGAAGACAUUUCAUAAAAAUCUGUGUCCCCUUAGCACUAGAAUGCUUUGGCUGUGAGUGGGAUAAGCUAGAAGUAAGCUGCCUUUGAUAGACGUGAGCGGUGUGUGAUAACUGUCUCUAUCUAUUCAACUACUUCCUGUUCAAUCUCACAUCGCAGCUGGAAAGCAAUUUCCUCACUUGACCCAUUUUUCUUCUGUAUUGUGUCUUUCUUCUGGUUCUUUAACAAAUAGUUUGAAGGAAUGGAGUGUCGUAAAGCCUUACACACUUGUAAGGUGAGGCAAUUCAGGCACCUGCUUUGGAAUAAGCAUACUCUCUUGUGUUUCAUUAUUUGGCUCCCUGGUUGGGCGGAUAACAGUUUUGCUCCUUUACUUUCAUGUCACUGUUUUCAGAAGAGAGAGAUUUUAAAGCUUGAAAAUGGUAGGCAUUUGAGUAAAGACAAAAACAGGUGUAUGGGGGUAAGGAUCUUGUUUUAGUAACAUGGACAAUUUAUGAAUGUUAUAAUUUUAGUAAGCAUAUAUGCAGUAAGUCUAGCAUUAAUAGAUCCACAUUGUAAAAUGCCUGUUUAUCCAAAGACGGAGGUCUCUUGGUAUCAUUGGCUUGUUACUGUUAAUGCCACCCUUAGUCACAGGUAUGACGUUAUCAUGUGAUAACUUUUGUCCCACACCCAUGGCUUAUAGAGUGCUUGGGUUGCCUUCUCUUUUUGCCAGAUCAAAUUCUAAAUGUCCUAACACACCGAACAUAACGCCAGUCUCCUUCUUGAAACCAUCUCUGACUUUACGUGUAUAAGCUCUCUCUUUUCUGUUUCUGCUCACACCUUUGGGGACCUCACUUAGCCCUGUGACUUUAAAUUUACCACACAUACCCUGAAGACUCCUAGGUUUUUGCUUGUUUUGUGAGGGGGUUUUUUGGCCAGCCUGGACUGCAUAGAUAUUUGCAUAUCUAGUUGCCUUCUCACCACCUGCACAGGACUGUUUAGUGAGCAUUUCCAGCCCACAGGGCCAGACCUGGCCCUGCUCUUGCCCCAGGACCACUCUGCCUGCACUCCUCUCUGUCUUCCUCGAGAGCGCUUACCCCCUUCUGGUCGCUCCAGUCUAAACCCUAGAGUCUUCCUUGGCUCCCUCUUUCUUUCCAUGUACAGUACAUAAGAAACUAAGAGAUUUCUAAGUGAUCCAUGGGUCAAAGAAGAGAAAUACUUGGAACUAAAUUUAAAAAACCAAAUACAACAUAUCAGAAAUCAUAUGAUGCUGCUAAGCUGUGCUAAGAGGGAAAUUUAUGGCAUUAAAUGUCUCUAUUGGAAAAGGAGAACGAUCUCAGAUCAGUAAUUUAAGCGUUUAUCUUAUUCCAAAAAGUGAAGAACAAACUAAACCCAAUAGCAAGUAAAAAGAAGGAGAUAAAGGUUAGAGUGGAAGUCGGUGACGUAGAAACAGAAAGCAGUAGAAAGGAUCAAUAGAACCAAAAUUAAUUGG